AUGGGUUUCAUGAAUCACCAUAUCGAGAGAUUUGUCGACACAGCUUGUUGCCAGUACCAUAUAACUGGAAUUAACCGAUGCAAGUCCAAGAAGGAUUGGCCGGUGCUGCCGGCUGGCGUCAAGUUCGAUCCCACAGAUCAGGAGGUGAUCAAGCACCUUGAGGCCAAAGUGAGUGGUGACAGCGCGGGAUCUCACCCUCUCAUUGAUUUGUUCAUACCAACCAUCGUCAGCGAGCAUGGCAUAUGUUACACCCAUCCUGAGAAACUUCCAGGUAUCACACUGAGUGGCCUAAGCAAGAAUUUCUUCCAGCGCAAUUCCAGGGCGUUCAAAAGGGGCACGUGGACGCGUCGCAAGAUACAGUCGAAGUGCGGCAUGCAUGCGAUGUGGCACAAGACCGGCAAUACCUUGCCGGUGAUGGUCACCGGCCGGCAGACGGGCAGCAAAAAGGUUUUGGUGCUGCACACCAACAAGAACUUUGACCAGCAGAGGACCAACUGGGUGAUGCACCAGUACCACCUCGGGGACCUGGAGCAAGAGAAGGAGCGGGAGCUGGUCCUCUGCAAGAUUUUCUACCAGACAAACACUAGGGCCAGGAGUCGAGCAAGUUUCAACUGGGCUAUAGACUGCCCAGGCUUGGUUUUGUUUUUAUCAGGCCCAGCCCAUGACGACAACGGGCCACAAAGAUCCAGCAGUUCGCACGCGAGUCAGGAGCAGAGCGACCGUGACAGCCACCUCCCCUCCUGUGCGCCGCAUCGCCAUCGGGCCACCGGCUACUUCCCCCACGCCGCGUACAGUCCCAGGGACAGCCUCCCUCCUUGCCGCUCGUCCCCAAUCCCCGCAGCUCAACACUGUCGAUUGCCAGUCUACCGCUGCUGCUCUAGCUGGGCAGUGCCACCGCUCUACUCUAGCAACUGCCUGAAUCCGUACUCCUCGUCUCCGCGCCACUGCUCUACUCCGGACACUGCCCGACUUCGGAAUACGAUCUAA
RNAcentral lists this ribosomal RNA (987 nucleotides) under Triticum aestivum (bread wheat). RNAcentral's name for it is "partial small subunit ribosomal RNA". Lineage: Eukaryota; Viridiplantae; Streptophyta; Magnoliopsida; Poales; Poaceae. The record is from RNAcentral.